UUUGUAGCAAACAUGUUUGAGUGAAGGGUGUGUUUGAGUGUUUGUAUAUAAAUUAGAAUCCAGGGGUUUUUGUAUGUAAUGUUUGUGUUUGCAGGUUGUGUUGGUGUUUGAUUGCUGGGAUGUAUGCAUAUAUACAUGUUUGAUUGCUGGGAUGGUGUUUAAUUGCUGGGAUGUAUGCACAUAUGAUUGCUGUAAGUAUGUCACGUACAAACAUACAUAUGUACAUACGUACGUACAUACACAAACAAAUUAACACAGAGACACACAAAAACAUUGACACAUACACACACAGACACAAACAUACACACACAGACACAUG
Pelobates cultripes (western spadefoot toad) is the source of this 319-nucleotide non-coding RNA. The record is from the annotation of a GenBank genome assembly. Lineage: Eukaryota; Metazoa; Chordata; Amphibia; Anura; Pelobatidae.